This 1185-nucleotide ribosomal RNA is filed under the name Escherichia coli. RNAcentral's name for it is "partial 23S ribosomal RNA". It matches the Rfam family "Bacterial large subunit ribosomal RNA", at positions 1 to 1220 of the family's 2925-position model. The record is from RNAcentral. Lineage: Bacteria; Pseudomonadati; Pseudomonadota; Gammaproteobacteria; Enterobacterales; Enterobacteriaceae.
GGGUUGUGAGGUUAAGCGACUAAGCGUACACGGUGGAUGCCCUGGCAGUCAGAGGCGAUGAAGGACGUGCUAAUCUGCGAUAAGCGUCGGUGAGGUGAUAUGAACCGUUAUAACCGGCGAUUUCCGAAUGGGGAAACCCAGUGUGUUUCGACACACUAUCAUUAACUGAAUCCAUAGGUUAAUGAGGCGAACCGGGGGAACUGAAACAUCUAAGUACCCCGAGGAAAAGAAAUCAACCGAGAUUCCCCCAGUAGCGGCGAGCGAACGGGGAGGAGCCCAGAGCCUGAAUCAGUGUGUGUGUUAGUGGAAGUGUCUGGAAAGGCGCGCGAUACAGGGUGACAGCCCCGUACACAAAAAUGCACAUGCUGUGAGCUCGAUGAGUAGGGCGGGACACGUGGUAUCCUGUCUGAAUAUGGGGGGACCAUCCUCCAAGGCUAAAUACUCCUGACUGACCGAUAGUGAACCAGUACCGUGAGGGAAAGGCGAAAAGAACCCCGGCGAGGGGAGUGAAAAAGAACCUGAAACCGUGUACGUACAAGCAGUGGGAGCCUCUUAAUGGGGUGACUGCGUACCUUUUGUAUAAUGGGUCAGCGACUUAUAUUCUGUAGCAAGGUUAACCGAAUAGGGGAGCCGAAGGGAAACCGAGUCUUAACUGGGCGUUAAGUUGCAGGGUAUAGACCCGAAACCCGGUGAUCUAGCCAUGGGCAGGUUGAAGGUUGGGUAACACUAACUGGAGGACCGAACCGACUAAUGUUGAAAAAUUAGCGGAUGACUUGUGGCUGGGGGUGAAAGGCCAAUCAAACCGGGAGAUAGCUGGUUCUCCCCGAAAGCUAUUUAGGUAGCGCCUCGUGAAUUCAUCUCCGGGGGUAGAGCACUGUUUCGGCAAGGGGGUCAUCCCGACUUACCAACCCGAUGCAAACUGCGAAUACCGGAGAAUGUUAUCACGGGAGACACACGGCGGGUGCUAACGUCCGUCGUGAAGAGGGAAACAACCCAGACCGCCAGCUAAGGUCCCAAAGUCAUGGUUAAGUGGGAAACGAUGUGGGAAGGCCCAGACAGCCAGGAUGUUGGCUUAGAAGCAGCCAUCAUUUAAAGAAAGCGUAAUAGCUCACUGGUCGAGUCGGCCUGCGCGGAAGAUGUAACGGGGCUAAACCAUGCACCGAAGCUGCGGCAGCGACGCUUAUG